AUUGAACGCUGGCGGCAGGCCUAACACAUGCAAGCCGAGCGGAUGAAGGGAGCUUGCUCCUGGAUUCAGCGGCGGACGGGUGAGUAAUGCCUAGGAAUCUGCCUGGUAGUGGGGGAUAACGUCCGGAAACGGGCGCUAAUACCGCAUACGUCCUGAGGGAGAAAGUGGGGGAUCUUCGGACCUCACGCUAUCAGAUGAGCCUAGGUCGGAUUAGCUAGUUGGUGGGGUAAAGGCCUACCAAGGCGACGAUCCGUAACUGGUCUGAGAGGAUGAUCAGUCACACUGGAGCUGAGACACGGUCCAGACUCCUACGGGAGGCAGCAGUGGGGAAUAUUGGACAAUGGGCGAAAGCCUGAUCCAGCCAUGCCGCGUGUGUGAAGAAGGUCUUCGGAUUGUAAAGCACUUUAAGUUGGGAGGAAGGGCAGUAAGUUAAUACCUUGCUGUUUUGACGUUACCAACAGAAUAAGCACCGGCUAACUUCGUG
Molecule: ribosomal RNA, 484 nt
Filed under: uncultured bacterium
Lineage: Bacteria
Description: partial 16S ribosomal RNA
Rfam family: Bacterial small subunit ribosomal RNA
Source: RNAcentral